RNAcentral lists this ribosomal RNA (1387 nucleotides) under uncultured bacterium. RNAcentral's name for it is "16S ribosomal RNA". It matches the Rfam family "Bacterial small subunit ribosomal RNA". The record is from RNAcentral.
UUAGAGUUUGAUCAUGGCUCAGGACGAACGCUGGCGGCGUGCUUAACACAUGCAAGUCGAACGAUGAAGCCUAGCUUGCUAGGUGGAUUAGUGGCGAACGGGUGAGUAAUACGUGAGUGACCUACCUUUGACUCUGGGAUAAGCCUGGGAAACUGGGUCUAAUACCGGAUACGACCAAUCUCCGCAUGGGGUGUUGGUGGAAAGCGUUAUGGAGUGGUUUUAGAUGGGCUCACGGCCUAUCAGCUUGUUGGUGAGGUAAUGGCUUACCAAGGCGACGACGGGUAGCCGGCCUGAGAGGGUGACCGGCCACACUGGGACUGAGACACGGCCCAGACUCCUACGGGAGGCAGCAGUGGGGAAUAUUGCACAAUGGGCGCAACGUGAUGCAGCGACGCCGCGUGAGGGAUGACGGCCUUCGGGUUGUAAACCUCUGUUAGCAUCGAAGAAGCGAAAGUGACGGUAGGUGCAGAGAAAGCGCCGGCUAACUACGUGCCAGCAGCCGCGGUAAUACGUAGGGCGCGAGCGUUGUCCGGAAUUAUUGGGCGGAAAGAGCUUGUAGGCGGUUGGUCGCGUCUGCUGUGAAAGGCUGGGGCUUAACCCUGGUUUUGCAGUGGGUACGGGCUAACUAGAGUGCAGUAGGGGAGACUGGAAUUCCUGGUGUAGCGGUGGAAUGCGCAGAUAUCAGGAGGAACACCGAUGGCGAAGGCAGGUCUCUGGGCUGUAACUGACGCUGAGAAGCGAAAGCAUGGGGAGCGAACAGGAUUAGAUACCCUGGUAGUCCAUGCCGUAAACGUUGGGCACUAGGUGUGGGGGACAUUCCACGUUUUCCGCGCCGUAGCUAACGCAUUAAGUGCCCCGCCUGGGGAGUACGGCCGCAAGGCUAAAACUCAAAGAAAUUGACGGGGGCCCGCACAAGCGGCGGAGCAUGCGGAUUAAUUCGAUGCAACGCGAAGAACCUUACCAAGGCUUGACAUAUACUGGACUGCGUCAGAGAUGGCGUUUCCCUUCGGGGCUGGUAUACAGGUGGUGCAUGGUUGUCGUCAGCUCGUGUCGUGAGAUGUUGGGUUAAGUCCCGCAACGAGCGCAACCCUCGUUCUAUGUUGCCAGCACGUGAUGGUGGGGACUCAUAGGAGACUGCCGGGGUCAACUCGGAGGAAGGUGGGGAUGACGUCAAAUCAUCAUGCCCCUUAUGUCUUGGGCUUCACGCAUGCUACAAUGGCCGGUACAGAGGGUUGCGAUACUGUGAGGUGGAGCUAAUCCCUAAAAGCCGGUCUCAGUUCGGAUUGGGGUCUGCAACUCGACCCCAUGAAGUCGGAGUCGCUAGUAAUCGCAGAUCAGCAACGCUGCGGUGAAUACGUUCCCGGGCCCUGUACACCACCGCCCGUCA